AGCCGAAACGGGCGACAGUGUCGCCCGUCAUCGGGAGAGUAGCCGCUCCCGGUCUGAUGAUGGCAGGCUAUA
This 72-nucleotide non-coding RNA is filed under the name bacterium. The record is from RNAcentral.